Molecule: long non-coding RNA, 1132 nt
Organism: Gallus gallus (chicken)
Lineage: Eukaryota; Metazoa; Chordata; Aves; Galliformes; Phasianidae
Source: Ensembl
CACUGUUGUUUGCAGAGUGUUUGGUGAGCCCUCGUCUUUGGAAAGGGCUCAGCACUUGACUAGAAAUCAGGGGAUGUGAGCUGAGUUUCUCCAAGCCACCUGUCUGCAUAGCAAAUUUUGGUACAUUUACCGGUGUCAGAUCCCUCUCGAAAUGAACCGCACCACCUCCACCACCAUGCAAAACCCAAAUCCUGCGCAUCAAGGAAGAAAAAGACCCAUGACCCUUAGCUAAUAAUAUGCAAGUGCCUUUCUGUGCAAUAGAUGAAUAAAUUUUAUUUGACAUCUAACUCUGUAUGCCUACCGUGGAAAGAGGGCACACAGUUUCUACAGUCGUGAAAUUGAUCUUGUGCUGAUUGACUGCAGCAUCCUACAAAUGCAGGGCACUCUGCCUAUCUCUGAAGACCACCUGGGAAGGUAUCCCUGCUAGCACCAGCACUGCUGGCAGCAGAUCACCCUCACCAUGCGCUGCGGAGCAGAACCAUGCCUGUAAGGGAUGGCUCACCUUGGGGCACUCUGGGCAGCCCAGCUGCAGUCCCACCAUCACCUCGCUCUGCGUCACUGCCGCCUCGUGUGAGCUGAAAGCACUUGUCAACCCACAGCCGGAGAUGCUAGAUGACAGCUCACUGCCUGGGGCUCAGCUUCUCCAUUGCUCCACACUGACCCAAGCCUGCACUGCUGCCGGUGGGGCUGUGUGUCCCUGCUCCAUCCCUGGCUGCAGCACCGGCCGGUGGGCGGCCAGCAGGGACCUCCAUGCAGACACGAGCCCUGCUUGUUGUGCAGCCUCCCUUCACUGGCAAGGAGGACCUGGGAGAUAACAUGGCCGGCAAAACAGCACAGUCGUGUGUUAUCAUGGAACUGCCUAAAUGAGAGUGGUAGCUCUCCUUGUUAAUCUAGUGAUGACCAUGAGUGGCCUGGAUCUACAGUGCUAGACUGGGGAUGCUCUGCUUGUGGAUGAUGUGAAUUCCCCUCUCCAGCAAAUUUUACAAGCGGACUAUACAGAUUUCUAUUAGGAAAGACAAAUGGUUCAAACACUGUGCUGGAGGGUCUACCUAAAUUGGGGCUGACCCUAUUUUGGUACUAGAGGCAAGACUGGGUGUCUCACCUGGAAUGCUGGGGUCCAAUUAAAUCUUCG